GAUGAACGCUGGCGGCGUGCCUAAUACAUGCAAGUCGAGCGAACAGACGAGGAGCUUGCUCCUUUGACGUUAGCGGCGGACGGGUGAGUAACACGUGGAUAACCUACCUAUAAGACUGGGAUAACUUCGGGAAACCGGAGCUAAUACCGGAUAAUAUUUUGAACCGCAUGGUUCAAUAGUGAAAGACGGCUUUGCUGUCACUUAUAGAUGGACCCGCGCCGCAUUAGCUAGUUGGUAAGGUAACGGCUUACCAAGGCAACGAUGCGUAGCCGACCUGAGAGGGUGAUCGGCCACACUGGAACUGAGACACGGUCCAGACUCCUACGGGAGGCAGCAGUAGGGAAUCUUCCGCAAUGGGCGAAAGCUUGACGGAGCAACGCCGCGUGAGUGAUGAAGGUCUUCGGAUCGUAAAACUCUGUUAUUAGGGAAGAACAAAUGUGUAAGUAACUAUGCACGUCUUGACGGUACCUAAUCAGAAAGCCACGGCUAACUACGUG
RNAcentral lists this ribosomal RNA (497 nucleotides) under uncultured bacterium. RNAcentral describes it as "partial 16S ribosomal RNA". It matches the Rfam family "Bacterial small subunit ribosomal RNA", at positions 28 to 507 of the family's 1533-position model. The record is from RNAcentral.